UAGCGAAAGCUACGCUAAUACCGCAUACGAUCUACGGAUGAAAGCGGGGGGAUCGCAAGACCUCGCGCGAUUGGAGCGGCCGAUAUCAGAUUAGGUAGUUGGUGAGGUAAAGGCUCACCAAGCCGACGAUCUGUAGCUGGGUCUGAGAGGACGACCAGCCACACUGGGACUGAGACACGGCCCAGACUCCUACGGGAGGCAGCAGUGGGGAAUAUUGGACAAUGGGCGCAAGCCUGAUCAGCCAUGCCGCGUGUGUGAAGAAGGCCUUAGGGUUGUAAAGCACUUUCAGUGGGGAGAAAGGUCAUUCACCUAAUACGUGAGUGAAUUGAUGUUACCCACAGAAGAAGCACCGGCUAACUCCGUG
This 364-nucleotide ribosomal RNA is filed under the name uncultured bacterium. Its description in RNAcentral is "bacterial SSU rRNA". It matches the Rfam family "Bacterial small subunit ribosomal RNA", at positions 149 to 507 of the family's 1533-position model. The record is from RNAcentral.